This 1046-nucleotide long non-coding RNA is filed under the name Betta splendens (Siamese fighting fish). Its description in RNAcentral is "lncRNA (ENSBSLG00000014187.1)". The record is from RNAcentral. Lineage: Eukaryota; Metazoa; Chordata; Actinopteri; Anabantiformes; Osphronemidae.
AUGCCGCGCGGUGUCUCGUUCGUGCGGUGUGGAGGCAGCGCGCGCCUGAACGCGUGUCGCGCGAGGCCGGAGGAGUGCGGGAGUUUAACUGGAUGCCGCUUGAUGCAGCAGAGACGUGCGUCCAGACUCCGAGGAAACGCGUGGCACACAAUAAAACACAACGUGACAAAUCCAACCUUUCCAGGUCCGCGUCCACAGAACCGGAGCCUGAAGCGUCGGACCUGUUGUUGGACUGUUUGUGCGUCAGAGCUCACCUCUGAACGCGCUCCCGUCUCAACACAGCGUUGUUUGCAGCCGUUUGGGCUCAGUGUGAGUUGGUUCUUCUCCUCCUGAUGAAACGUGUGUGUUUGUAGCUCAUCCAGGCAGCAGCUCUUCUCUCUGUGCAGCUGCAGAUGAAGCAUGAUGCUGAGAUGCUGCCGCUGUCAUCACAUAUUCAUAGGCUAAACAUGUAGCUCAUGAGCCACUGUGUGUAUUUUUAGCUGGAUGCCUGAGCUCCCAGCUCCCUCAUGUGCCACAUUAUUUUUAGUCUCCACCAUCCAAGACUCAGACUCAGAAUUGGCUUGACACAAACCCCAACACUCGUUUUUUCCCGUCAGCGUCGGACCCUCAGACGGACACUGAGCUGGUGAAGGACGGCGUCAGUGUUGUGCUCAUCACUCAUGUGUGAAGGCACACAGGCAGACACAGCCUGGACGCUGCAGUUCCCCUUUGGCAGCCAUGUUGACUCCACAGUCUGGUCCAUGGCUGUUGCCAUAGUAACGGAUGCUGAUGUGCAGAGAGCUGGGCUGCUGCCACAGCCCUGCUGUGCAGGACGCUGUAACAUACCUGCAAAAUAAGGUUGAGGAACAACUGCUGAAGUCAUGAACAGUCACAUUAGUCCAUCUGUUUUAACUGACAAUUUAAUCUGUUUGGAGCCACUGAGAAAAGUUUUAGUAUGAUUUGCUGGAAUUUUGCAAACCAUCCAUAAGAAAGACUUUUAAACAACUUCUGAUCUACAGCAAUGUAAUUAUAAUAAAAUAAUAGCAAUAUUUAAAUUUGGCUUAAUG